AUUGAACGCUGGCGGAAUGCUUUACACAUGCAAGUCGAGCGGCAGCGCGGGGGCAACCCUGGCGGCGAGCGGCGAACGGGUGAGUAACAUAUCGGAACGUACCCCGUCGUGGGGGAUAACACAGCGAAAGCUGUGCUAAUACCGCAUACGACCUGAGGGUGAAAGCGGGGGAUCGCAAGACCUCGCGCGAUGGGAGCGGCCGAUAUCGGAUUAGCUUGUUGGUGAGGUAAAGGCUCACCAAGGCGACGAUCCGUAGCUGGUCUGAGAGGACGACCAGCCACACUGGAACUGAGACACGGUCCAGACUCCUACGGGAGGCAGCAGUGGGGAAUUUUGGACAAUGGGGGCAACCCUGAUCCAGCCAUUCCGCGUGAGUGAAGAAGGCCUUCGGGUU
This 394-nucleotide ribosomal RNA is filed under the name uncultured bacterium. RNAcentral's name for it is "bacterial SSU rRNA". It matches the Rfam family "Bacterial small subunit ribosomal RNA", at positions 29 to 424 of the family's 1533-position model. The record is from RNAcentral.